GAAGGUUCAGCUCAGUGGUAGAGUUUGUGCUUCGCAUGCAUGACGUCCUGGGUUCAAUCCCCAGUACCUUCA
RNAcentral lists this transfer RNA (72 nucleotides) under Camelus bactrianus (Bactrian camel). It matches the Rfam family "tRNA". Rfam says of the family: Transfer RNA (tRNA) molecules are approximately 80 nucleotides in length. Their secondary structure includes four short double-helical elements and three loops (D, anti-codon, and T loops). The record is from Rfam by way of RNAcentral. Lineage: Eukaryota; Metazoa; Chordata; Mammalia; Artiodactyla; Camelidae. RNAcentral also lists the same sequence under 2 other names.